AACGCACGAGACCUGCGGACCUGCGGAGGGAUCAUUACCGAGUUAUCCAACUCCCAACCCCUGUGAAUUAUACCCUUAAUUGUUGCUUCGGCGGGACUUCGCGCCCGCCGGGGACCCAAACCUUCUGAAUUUUUUAAUAAGUAUCUUCUGAGUGGUUAAAAAAAUGAAUCAAAACUUUCAGCAAUGGAUCUCU
This 193-nucleotide unclassified non-coding RNA is filed under the name soil metagenome. Its description in RNAcentral is "partial contains 5.8S ribosomal RNA, internal transcribed spacer 2, and large subunit ribosomal RNA". The record is from RNAcentral.